Molecule: ribosomal RNA, 217 nt
Filed under: uncultured bacterium
Lineage: Bacteria
Description: partial 16S ribosomal RNA
Rfam family: Bacterial small subunit ribosomal RNA
Source: RNAcentral
GAUCCUGGCUCAGGAUGAACGCUAGCUACAGGCUUAACACAUGCAAGUCGAGGGGCAGCAUGGUCUUAGCUUGCUAAGGCCGAUGGCGACCGGCGCACGGGUGAGUAACGCGUAUCCAACCUGCCUUACACUCUUGGACAGCCUUCUGAAAAGGGAGAUUAAUACAAGAUGUUAUCAUGGGUAAGCAUUUUCGCAUGAUUAAGUUACGGUUCGUAGA